RNAcentral lists this ribosomal RNA (649 nucleotides) under Shigella sp. Its description in RNAcentral is "partial 16S rRNA". The record is from RNAcentral. Lineage: Bacteria; Pseudomonadati; Pseudomonadota; Gammaproteobacteria; Enterobacterales; Enterobacteriaceae.
UUCGUCCAGGGGGCCGCCUUCGCCACCGGUAUUCCUCCAGAUCUCUACGCAUUUCACCGCUACACCUGGAAUUCUACCCCCCUCUACGAGACUCAAGCUUGCCAGUAUCAGAUGCAGUUCCCAGGUUGAGCCCGGGGAUUUCACAUCUGACUUAACAAACCGCCUGCGUGCGCUUUACGCCCAGUAAUUCCGAUUAACGCUUGCACCCUCCGUAUUACCGCGGCUGCUGGCACGGAGUUAGCCGGUGCUUCUUCUGCGGGUAACGUCAAUGAGCAAAGGUAUUAACUUUACUCCCUUCCUCCCCGCUGAAAGUACUUUACAACCCGAAGGCCUUCUUCAUACACGCGGCAUGGCUGCAUCAGGCUUGCGCCCAUUGUGCAAUAUUCCCCACUGCUGCCUCCCGUAGGAGUCUGGACCGUGUCUCAGUUCCAGUGUGGCUGGUCAUCCUCUCAGACCAGCUAGGGAUCGUCGCCUUGGUGAGCCGUUACCCCACCNACUAGCUAAUCCCAUCUGGGCACAUCCGAUGGCAAGAGGCCCGAAGGUCCCCCUCUUUGGUCUUGCGACGUUAUGCGGUAUUAGCUACCGUUUCCAGUAGUUAUCCCCCUCCAUCAGGCAGUUUCCCAGACAUUACUCACCCGUCCGCCACUCG